AUACUACGCAGCAAAGCACGGGAACUUGGAGGUCUUCAAUGUAGCCGGGCUUGAGGUUGAGAACCUUACGCCCGACAAAAUAUGCCGGUGAACAGCACCGGCGUAGGAAAUGGGGAGGUAACUCCCCAUAAGGAGGAGGAGGAGGUGGGAAAGCGCGUGCUGGCCCAGUUCAAGAGCGAGACGGGGGAGGUAGCAGGAAAUCCGUUUGACUUGCCGGUUGAUAUCACCGUUGACAAGCUCAAACUAGUGUGCAAUGCCAUCCUCCAGAAAGAUGAAAGCACGCCAUAUUCAUUCUUUGUCAAUGAGGCAGAGAUUCAGGAUAGCCUUGAGAAAACCCUACAGAAGGUCGAAGUGACCUCUUCAGAACAAGUACUUGAUAUUGUAUAUCAGCCCCAAGCUGUGUUCCGAGUACGAGCCGUCACACGCUGUACCAGUACUAUAGAGGGACAUGCAGAUGCUGUUAUAGCUGUAGCCUUUAGUCCAGACGGAAGAUACCUUGCAAGUGGAUCUGGUGAUACGACAGUCCGGUUUUGGGAUGUCAAUACAGAGACUCCCCAGUUCACCUGUAAAGGUCACCGACACUGGAUCCUGUGUAUUGCCUGGUCUCCAGACGGUAACAAGUUGGCUUCCGGGUGCAAGAAUAGUCAGAUAUGUGUGUGGGAUCCUAAAACUGGGAACCAGAUUGGCCGAACUUUGACCGGACACAAACAGUGGAUCACAUGGAUGUCAUGGAAACCACUUCAUCUAGAUCCAGAGGGUCGCUAUUUGGCCAGUUCAUCCAAGGACGGCACAGUGAGGAUCUGGGACACAGUUUUAGGCCACACCCACCUGACACUGGCAGGGCACCUGCAGUCUGUGUCCUGCGUCAAGUGGGGGGGCACGGACCUCCUUUACACAGCCUCACAGGACCGCACUGUCAAGGUGUGGAGAGCCGCUGAUGGAGUCCUGUGUCGUACCCUACAAGGUCACAGUCACUGGGUGAACACCAUGGCCUUGAGUACUGACUACGUCAUCCGGACAGGAGCCUUCGACCCAAAGGAUGCUAAAGUAGUCCACAGAGAUGUCACAGAAUCAGGAGAUGAGUUGUCAAAGCUAGCUCUACAGAGAUACAAUGCAGUCAAGGGCACAUCUCCAGAGAGACUAGUGACAGGGUCCGAUGACUUCACGUUGUUUCUGUGGCACCCGGAGGAGGAGAAGAAACCCGUGUGUCGCAUGACAGGGCACGCCCAACUCAUCAACGAGGUUCUCUUCUCCCCUGAUACCAGGCUCAUCGCCAGUGCAUCCUUUGACAAGUCAGUGAAGGUCUGGGACGGAAGAACUGGAAAGUUUAUAGCAUCCUUGCGGGGCCAUGUGAGCCGAGUGUACCAGGUGGCGUGGUCCGCCGACAGUCGCCUGCUGUGCAGUGGGAGUUCCGACUCCACACUCAAAGUCUGGGACAUGAAGACCAGGAAGCUUCUGUCUGAUCUUCCUGGACACGCAGACGAGGUGUACUCAGUAGACUGGAGUCCGGAUGGCCAGCGAGUGGUCAGUGGAGGGAAGGACAAGGUACUCAAAGUCUGGCGACAUUGACAGUGUCUCUCAGCGCAGACAGUCCCAUCCUGGGAAGCAGCCAAUCAGCAGCCUCGGAACAUGGCAAUACAUCAUUAUCUGACAAGGAGAGCAGAGUCGGAGUUUCCUCCCGAACAUGGCAGUUCACUCAGGGAAGAUUAAACAUGCCAUGUGUUUUAUGCAACAAGCACCAGGUCUUGUAGGAGGAGCUGCAGUAUGCCUGUUGCUGGCUUGUAUGACCACAACCAUUAACAUGACAGCUGUGGACAAACUAUGUCAGUGGAGGAUCUGAGGACGAGCUAUGGGCAAUGAGCAGCUUGUUUACGUGUGUUGAAACAAGUCUGUAUGCGUGUUAUAUACUGACUCACAUGGAAAAUGCAUAUUUGAAUUCUGGUAAUAUUUGGUAAUUUGGCCUGAAAAUGAAGUUAAGUUGGAAUUAAUUGGUGGUAUUGGUACAAAUCUUGUUUGAAAAAUUAAGUUAAGUUCUGGAUGUUUAGGUGAGGUAUUCAAACACAAACUUGUUAGAAUUGGGGUUAAAAUCUUCUUUGAAAACUUUUGUUAAAUUCUGGGUAUUUAGAAUCACCAUCAUCAAACACGAAAAUGUUGGAAUUGGGGUUCAAAGCUUGUUUGAAAACUGAAGUUAAGUUCUGGAUGUUUAGGUUUGAGGUAAUUAAACACAAACUUGUUAGAAUUGGGGUUAAAAUCUUCUUUGAAAACUUUUGUUAAAUUCUGGGUAUUUAGAGUAACAUCAUCAAACACAAUAAUGUUGGAAUUGGGGUUCAAAUCUCAUUUGAUGUUUUUUCCAGGUAUACUGUUGAAAUUUUCUUGAUUCCUUUUAAGUGGAUUUUGCAUUUGAAAUGUGGUUCAGUAUAUAUCAUAAGCAUAGGCUGAUAUCAACAUUUAUCUGAUGGGUUUUAUAGGGUUUUAUUUACUUAGGGAAAUAUGGUACAGGGGAAUAUGGUUUUAGUCAAUGUUCAUGGAAUGUCUCAAACUUGAACUGGUUAGUAUUGCUGUAACUUACAAAAAAACACCAUUAUACAGUUGAAAUGUUUGUUAAAAAGGGUGUUUACAUUUUUUAUUUUAUCUGCGAAUAGCUGCAAAAUUGCUGAUGCGGCUUAAUGCACAUUUACUCACUACUCCUAUUUGGAGAGAUUAUAUUUAUGGAUAUGUGAAUAUGAAUUGUUAAUGUGUAUGUAAAUAUGGAUUAUUGUGUUAUGGAAUAAUGUAUCAGCAUUGUUAACGUAAUUUGUUGAACAUUUUAUGUGAAGUUGAAUCAAUUAAUGUAGAUCUCUCCUCUAAAUGCUUCACAGGGAGGGGCGCUGGUGUUGAGAACUGCCACCUUGGUCAUGUUGGUAAUCAAUUGUCAUUAGAGAAUCAGCCAUAGAGGGCGAUGGCUAACUUGUGAAGCAGCCAUUAUGUGCACCUGUAAUAGAUCAAUCAGUGUAAAGAGAAUCUCUGUUUUGUUUAAUUAAAUCAUGGAGUGUUAUAUUUUUCAGUUAAUGAUUAUGAUGAUUAUGAUUAUGAUUUAUUGAAGGCACAAUCACCAUUAGAAUGAUGCAAAUGUUCUGAGAGGUUUUUCCCUCUACGCUCUCUCAAUGUGUUUAUAUAUAAAUGAAUGUAAGCUGAUCAAAGUCGUUUGAUACUGAUCUGCAUGAAUAUUCCCCAGUUUUGUAUGUACUUUAUAUAUAGUAGACUUCCCAUUUUGAAGCUCUUUUGACAGGUUGUAGGAUCAGCAGUUUAUGUUGGUUUCCUGGUAUCUGUACCGAGCACCUGGUAUCUGUACCUGUGGAAAAAAAUUCUAUCAGUCAUCAUUUAAUUUAAGGAAGUCCACCUGGCCUGUUGUUCAGCUUUUUUCAGCAGAGACAACCCAAAGUUGUGAGUUGGAUUGGUUUUGGAUGGGUUGAUUUUGCAAGUGUUGCUAGGCAACCAGGACAGUAACAUGUCUUGCUGGAAUAGUUUCUGAUCAUUAUUGUGUGAUGCCGAUUUGUUAUAUGGCUCAAAUGUUAAUAAGUCUAACAUAUAUAUAUAUAUAUCUUUCCAACUGUCCCUCUAUCGCUUAUGGCUGGCUUAAUCGAUCACUUCUAUCCUGUGGGAUUGAAAGUCCCGCCAUGCCUGUGUUCCCUACCUGGUGUUUGUUGAAUACCAUCUUCAGGCAUCAGGAGGUGGUUGACACAGGUGUGAGCUGGUUGAUGUUCUCUCUCAGGUUCUUUCUUCUUCUGGUUAUCUCACCUCUCUAUACUAUCCCCUGAUACCCAUGAAGAUCCGGGUAAUAAUUGGCCUUGAGAAACCCAUACUUGUUGUAACAGGUGACUAUUGGUAUUGGGUGUUGAGGCAGGCUGGAUUGCCUCUGGUUAUCUCAACCAUUCACACCCUUCAUCCCAUGCACUCUAUUGUUUUGGGAGGUAGCCAUGGGAUGUCCUAAUAGCCUGAUAGUUCAAGUGUUUGCUUGUCACGCUGACGACUCAGGCUCAAUUCCACACAUGGGUACAAUGUUUGAAGCCCCAUUUUGGUAUCCCCAGCCGUGAUAUUGCUAGAAUAUUGCUAAAAGCAAUGUAAAGCUCACUCACUCACUCACUCUUCGAUCCUGUGAGAUUGAAAGUCCCGCCAUGCCUGUGUUCCCUGCCUGGUGUUUGUUGAAUACCAUCUUCAAGCAUCAGGAGGUGGUUGACACAGGUGUGAGCUGGUUGAUGUUCUCUCUCAGGUUCUUUCUUCCCCCAGUCAACUCACCGCCACACUUAUAUUCUAUACUAUCCGUUUCUUUCUCUAUUCUUUACGAUCCUGUGGGAUUGAAAGUCCCGCCAUGCCUGUGUUCCCUGCCUGGUGUUUGUUGAAUACCAUCUUCAAGCAUCAGGAGGUGGUUGACACAGGUGUGAGCUGGUUGAUGUUCUCUCUCAGGUUCUUUCUUCCUCUGGUCAUAUCACCCAUCCACAUCUAUAUUCUAUACUAUCCAUUUCUUUCUCUAUUCUUUACGAUCCUGUGGGAUUGAAAGUCCCGCCAUGCCUGUGUUCCCUGCCUGGUGUUUGUUGAAUACCAUCUUCAAGCAUCAGGAGGUGGUUGACACAGGUGUGAGCUGGUUGAUGUUCUCUCUCAGGUUCUUUCUUCUUCUGGUUAUCUCACCUCUCUAUACAAUCCCCUCAUACCCGUGAAGAUCCGGGUAAUAAUUGACCUUGAGAAACCCAUACUUGUUGUAACAGGCGACUAUUGGUAUCGGGUGUUGAGGCAGGCUGGAUUGCCUCUGGUUAUCUCAACCAUUCACACCCUCCAUCCCAUGCACUCUAUUGUUUUGGAGGUAGCCAUGGGGUAGCCUAAUAUCCUGAUAGUUAAAGCGUUAGCUUGUCACGCUGAAGACUCAGGUUCAAUUCCCCACAUGGGUACAAUGUUUGAAGCCCCAUUGUGGUGUCCCCAGCCAUGAUAUUGCUAGAAUAUUGCUAAAAGUAAUGUAAAACUCACACACUCACUCACUCUUUGAUCCUGUGAGAUUGAAAGUCCCGCCAUGCUUGUGUUCCCUGCCUUGUGUUUGUUGAACACCAUCUUCAGGCCUCAGGAGGUGGUUGACACAGGUGUGAGCUGGUUGAUGUUCUCUCUCAGGUUCUUUUUUCUUCCAGUCAUCUAACCAUCCACAUGUAUAUUCUGUACUAUCUGUUUCUUUCUCUUCUCUUUGAUCCUGUGGGGGCGUUGGAGUAGCCUAGUGGUUAAAGCGUUCAUUCGUUACGCUGAAGACCCGGGUUCAAUUCCCCACAUGAGUAUAUGUGAAUUGGUGUCCCCCUCCGUGAUAUUGCUGAAAAAUUGCUUAAGGCGGCGUUAAACUAAACUGACUCACUCACUCUUCGACCCUGUGGUUCACUUUCAGGUUCUUUCUUCCUCUAGUCAUAUCACCUAUCCACAUCUAUAUUCUAAACUUUCCGUUUCUUUCUCUAUUCUUUACGAUCCUGUGAGAUUGAAAGUCCCGCCAUGCCUGUGUUCCCUGCCUGGUGUUUGUUGAACACCAUCUUCAGGCCUCAGGAGGUGGUUGACACAGGUGUGAGCUGGUUGAUGUUCUCUCUCAGGUUCUUUCUUCUUCCAGUCAUCUAACCAUCCACAUGUAUAUUCUGUACUAUCUGUUUCUUUCUCUAUUCUUUAUACGAUCCUGUGGGAUUGAAAGUCCCGCCAUGCCUGUGUUCCCUGCCUGGUGUUUGUUGAACACCAUCUUCAGGCAUCAGGAGGUGGUUGACACAGGUUAGAGCUGGUUGAUGUUCUC
RNA transcript from Haliotis rubra (blacklip abalone), 5785 nucleotides. It is a transcript of the gene named notchless protein homolog 1-like, with no coding region annotated. NCBI's taxonomy places the organism in Eukaryota, Metazoa, Mollusca, Gastropoda, Lepetellida, Haliotidae. The transcript is spliced from 16 exons. The record is from RefSeq and is a predicted model, not a curated record.